Molecule: ribosomal RNA, 727 nt
Filed under: uncultured bacterium
Lineage: Bacteria
Description: bacterial SSU rRNA
Rfam family: Bacterial small subunit ribosomal RNA
Source: RNAcentral
GCUAGCGGGAGGCCUAAUACAUGCAAGUCGAACGGUAACAGGGGUAGCAAUACCCGCUGACGAGUGGCGUACGGGUGCGUAACGCGUACACAAUCUGCCUUAUACUGGGGGAUAGCCUCGGGAAACUGAGAUUAAUACCCCAUAACAUAUUGAAUGGGCAUCCAUUUACUAUUAAAACUCCGGUGGUAUAAGAUGAGUGAGCGUCCGAUUAGCUAGUUGGUGAGGUAACGGCUCACCAAGGCAACGAUCGGUAGCUGGUCUGAGAGGACGAUCAGCCACACGGGCACUGAGACACGGGCCCGACUCCUACGGGAGGCAGCAGUAGGGAAUAUUGGACAAUGGGCGCAAGCCUGAUCCAGCCAUCCCGCAUGAAGGAUUAAGGCCCUCUGGGUUGUAAACUUCUUUUCUUGGGGAAUAAAUAUCGCGAUUUAUCGCGAUUUGAAGGUACCCGAGGAAUAAGCACCGGCUAACUCCGUGCCAGCAGCCGCGGUAAUACGGAGGGUGCAAGCGUUAUCCGGAUUCACUGGGUUUAAAGGGAGCGUAGGUGGCUUUGUAAGUCAGUGGUGAAAGCCCGCAGCUCAACUGCGGAACUGCCAUUGAUACUGCUUAGCUUGAACCAGGUCGAGGUGGAUGGAAUAAUACAUGUAGCGGUGAAAUGCUUAGAUAUGUAUUAGAACACCGAUUGCGAAGGCAGUUCACUGGGCCUGUAUUGACACUGAGGCUCGAA